This 28-nucleotide small RNA is filed under the name Bombyx mori (domestic silkworm). RNAcentral's name for it is "ovarian small RNA-18200". Lineage: Eukaryota; Metazoa; Arthropoda; Insecta; Lepidoptera; Bombycidae. The record is from RNAcentral.
UAAACGUAAUAUUUUGUUUGGUACUUGA